UAGGUUGCUAAGCUAUUC
This 18-nucleotide non-coding RNA is filed under the name Mus musculus (house mouse). RNAcentral also lists the same sequence under 1 other name. Lineage: Eukaryota; Metazoa; Chordata; Mammalia; Rodentia; Muridae. The record is from RNAcentral.